Molecule: transfer RNA, 21 nt
Filed under: Cercopithecus mitis opisthostictus
Lineage: Eukaryota; Metazoa; Chordata; Mammalia; Primates; Cercopithecidae
Description: partial tRNA-Ser
Source: RNAcentral
GAGAAAAUUCGCAAGGAUUGC